This 193-nucleotide small nuclear RNA is filed under the name Echinostoma caproni. Its description in RNAcentral is "U2 spliceosomal RNA". It matches the Rfam family "U2 spliceosomal RNA". From Rfam's summary of the family: U2 is a small nuclear RNA (snRNA) component of the spliceosome (involved in pre-mRNA splicing). Complementary binding between U2 snRNA (in an area lying towards the 5' end but 3' to hairpin I) and the branchpoint sequence (BPS) of the intron results the bulging out of an unpaired adenosine, on the BPS, which initiates a nucleophilic attack at the intronic 5' splice site, thus starting the first of two transesterification reactions that mediate splicing. Lineage: Eukaryota; Metazoa; Platyhelminthes; Trematoda; Plagiorchiida; Echinostomatidae. The record is from Rfam by way of RNAcentral.
AUCAAUCUCGGCUCUCGGAGUUAACUUCAUGUGUAUUAUCCAUUCUUUGCUGAGUAAUUUCUGUAACGGUCUCUAAAUUGAAACCAAUGAAAUUAUAUGUAUUUUUCUCUGCUGGACGGGUACUGUGAGCUUGCUCAACCCUGUUCACGGGUCGGCCUCGUAUUGCAUUACCUCAAGGAUUGGCCCACUAAAG